This 643-nucleotide ribosomal RNA is filed under the name Lactiplantibacillus plantarum. RNAcentral's name for it is "bacterial SSU rRNA". It matches the Rfam family "Bacterial small subunit ribosomal RNA", at positions 22 to 629 of the family's 1533-position model. The record is from RNAcentral. Lineage: Bacteria; Bacillati; Bacillota; Bacilli; Lactobacillales; Lactobacillaceae.
GCUCAGGACGAACGCUGGCGGCGUGCCUAAUACAUGCAAGUCGAACGAACUCUGGUAUUGAUUGGUGCUUGCAUCAUGAUUUACAUUUGAGUGAGUGGCGAACUGGUGAGUAACACGUGGGAAACCUGCCCAGAAGCGGGGGAUAACACCUGGAAACAGAUGCUAAUACCGCAUAACAACUUGGACCGCAUGGUCCGAGUUUGAAAGAUGGCUUCGGCUAUCACUUUUGGAUGGUCCCGCGGCGUAUUAGCUAGAUGGUGAGGUAACGGCUCACCAUGGCAAUGAUACGUAGCCGACCUGAGAGGGUAAUCGGCCACAUUGGGACUGAGACACGGCCCAAACUCCUACGGGAGGCAGCAGUAGGGAAUCUUCCACAAUGGACGAAAGUCUGAUGGAGCAACGCCGCGUGAGUGAAGAAGGGUUUCGGCUCGUAAAACUCUGUUGUUAAAGAAGAACAUAUCUGAGAGUAACUGUUCAGGUAUUGACGGUAUUUAACCAGAAAGCCACGGCUAACUACGUGCCAGCAGCCGCGGUAAUACGUAGGUGGCAAGCGUUGUCCGGAUUUAUUGGGCGUAAAGCGAGCGCAGGCGGUUUUUUAAGUCUGAUGUGAAAGCCUUCGGCUCAACCGAUAGAAGUGCAUCGG